Molecule: long non-coding RNA, 214 nt
Filed under: Daucus carota (carrot)
Lineage: Eukaryota; Viridiplantae; Streptophyta; Magnoliopsida; Apiales; Apiaceae
Description: long non-coding RNA (DCAR_LNC005205)
Source: RNAcentral
CAGGGCACAAAGCAUCUUCAAGACCUUUAGAGUUCAGCACUAUAUAUAGGUCUCUUACUUGUACCCAGAGCUUCAUAAUUUAGUUGCUUAACUUCCAUUCUAGUUUCACCACAGUCAUCCGAAUAUAUAACUAUCUGUCUGAAUUCAACCGGAAGCCUGAUGACGACAACAAAAGAAUUUGGGUCCCCAGUGGUACUGAUAAUGGUCAGUGGGU